GACGAACGCUGGCGGCGUGCUUAACACAUGCAAGUCGAACGGAAAGGCCUGCUUUCCCUUGUGGAUUGCGGGUACUCGAGUGGCGAACGGGUGAGUAACACGUGAGUGAUCUGCCCCCAACUUGGGUAUAAGCCUGGGAAACUGGGUCUAAUUCCCGAUAGGACUGCAGGGUGGUGCCUGUGGUGGAAAACGAUUUUCUAGUGGUUGGGGAUGAGCUCGCGGCCUAUCAGCUUGUUGGUGGGGUAAUGGCCUACCAAGGCGGCGACGGGUAGCCGGCCUGAGAGGGUGGACGGCCACAUUGGGACUGAGAUACGGCCCAGACUCCUACGGGAGGCAGCAGUGGGGAAUAUUGCAUAAUGGGCGGAAGCCUGAUGCAGCGACGCCGCGUGGGGGAUGACGGCCUUCGGGUUGUAAACUCCUUUCGACCGCGAGGAAGCCACCUGGUUGGAAGGGUGGUGACGGUAGUGGUAGAAGAAGCACCGGCUAACUACGUG
This 494-nucleotide ribosomal RNA is filed under the name uncultured bacterium. RNAcentral's name for it is "partial 16S ribosomal RNA". It matches the Rfam family "Bacterial small subunit ribosomal RNA", at positions 28 to 507 of the family's 1533-position model. The record is from RNAcentral.